Molecule: unclassified non-coding RNA, 337 nt
Filed under: soil metagenome
Description: partial contains 5.8S ribosomal RNA, internal transcribed spacer 2, and large subunit ribosomal RNA
Rfam family: 5.8S ribosomal RNA (bases 1-120)
Source: RNAcentral
GAUGAAGAACGUAGCGAAAUGCGAUAAGUAAUGUGAAUUGCAGAAUUCAGUGAAUCAUCGAAUCUUUGAACGCACAUUGCGCCCCUUGGUAUUCCGAGGGGCAUGCCUGUUCGAGCGUCAUUACACCACUCAAGCUAUGCUUGGUAUUGGGCGUCGUCCUUAGUUGGGCGCGCCUUAAAGACCUCGGCGAGGCCACUCCGGCUUUAGGCGUAGUAGAAUUUAUUCGAACGUCUGUCAAAGGAGAGGAACUCUGCCGACUGAAACCUUUAUUUUUCUAGGUUGACCUCGGAUCAGGUAGGGAUACCCGCUGAACUUAAGUAUAUCAAUAAGCGGAGGA